UACGUAGGUGGCAAGCGUUGUCCGGAUUUACUGGGCGUAAAGAGCGCGCAGGCGGUCGUUCAAGUCGCGUGUGAAAGCCCCCGGCUCAACUGGGGAGGGUCACGCGAUACUGAUCGACUCGAAGGCAGGAGAGGGUAGUGGAAUUCCUGGUGUAGCGGUGAAAUGCGCAGAUAUCAGGAAGAACACCAAUGGCGAAGGCAGCUCUCUGGGACGGUACUGACGCUGAGACGCGAAAGCGUGGGGAGCGAACAGG
RNAcentral lists this ribosomal RNA (253 nucleotides) under uncultured bacterium. RNAcentral's name for it is "partial 16S ribosomal RNA". It matches the Rfam family "Bacterial small subunit ribosomal RNA", at positions 524 to 776 of the family's 1533-position model. The record is from RNAcentral.